RNAcentral lists this ribosomal RNA (297 nucleotides) under Triticum aestivum (bread wheat). RNAcentral describes it as "partial small subunit ribosomal RNA". Lineage: Eukaryota; Viridiplantae; Streptophyta; Magnoliopsida; Poales; Poaceae. The record is from RNAcentral.
AUGGGUAUUGGUGUCGUUGUUCGAAAUCACAGUGGGGACUGUCUUGUUGCUUGCAACGAAGUGUUUCCUGGUAUUACUGAACCAGAGCUUGCUGAGGCUCUUGCCAUUCGGCACGCUUUGAACAUCUGCCAAGCUGAAGGCUUCAUGCAUAUCAGUCUAGUGUCAGAUUGCCUCUCUAUGGUGAACAAGAUCAGGUCUCCUGUCCAAGAUCGUUCGAGUGUGGGCGCCGUUGUCUCCGACAUCAAGUCUCUGGCUGUUAGUUUUACCCUACUUUCUCACAUGUCAAGCGUGGACUGA